Molecule: long non-coding RNA, 503 nt
Organism: Dermacentor albipictus
Lineage: Eukaryota; Metazoa; Arthropoda; Arachnida; Ixodida; Ixodidae
Source: RefSeq, a predicted model, not a curated record
ACGGCGCGCUGAUCGGCUCCUGUUCGCCAACAAAAGCAGGAGAGACACGGUCGGAUUCGGUGUCCUAUCCGGCGUCCGACGGGCCGGAUCGGCAGCCGGAAACGAGGUGUUUUGCCGUGCCGAAGUGCCAAAUCAGACGUCUGGCGUGCGACAAACUGGACUGAUUUGCAUCGUUCGAUGCGUCCGACAACCGCACCGUCGUCUGGCCGCAGCCAAUGACAGCGCGAAUGAUUUUAACACCUUCAGUGUGUUCACUUCAGCACAGGAUAACCCACCGGCUUGUAUACCCCGGCGACGACUUCUCCACGACUUCGCUCCGACGGAGACCAGGUGACAAGCUGUGACAGUAACGCUGCCUCAAUUGGCACGCAUCAAAUGGCACAGCCGCCGCGAGAUCACCGAAAGCAGCCUGGAGCUAAUAGCGGAAUUUAUUCACUGACCGAGGGUGGCGCUGGAAAUGGUUCUGCAAGGCAGGAAGCAAACAGAGAGCCUCUUGUGGAGCA